CUUCCUCCCACAUUUCCGGUUCACGCGCGUGGAAAGAUGCAAUUUUGAGGCGCGGUGGAUUUUCCCUGGACACGUGUUGAGGUGCAAAUGUGCACGCGUCACAUUAGGGGCGUUUGGGCGUUUUCGCUCGCCUCUUUCGCGUCCGGUGUGAACGCACCGUAAGAGUCAGAUCAGCAGAAACAAAAACACGGAAAUGUCUGCUGUAACUGCGUCGCUCUGCUUGACUUUGCUGUUUGUCGGUGUCUUCGUGUUUGUCUCUGCAGACUAGAAAAACAUCACAGCUGAGUCUGGACAGAACUCUUCCAUGUCGAGCUCCAAACAAAAAUAUCAGCAUCAUUGGUCUGGAGUGGAGUAGAGCUGACCUGGGAGAAGAAUAUGUGAUUUUGUACCGGGAUGGUCAGUUUGUUCCAGACAACCAGCAUCCAUCUUUUAAGAACCGGGUGGAUCACCAGGACAGACAGUGUGGAGACGUGUCUUUAAUGACACUGGAACAUACGAGUGUCAUGUCGUCAUGAGAGGAACAAACAUAAGACCAGAAAAUCAUCAAAGCUGAGCCUGGACAGAAGAACGUCACUCUUCCAUGUCGAGCUCCAAACAACAGCAGCAGCAUCACCGGUGUAGAGUGGACCAGAGCUGAGCUGGGAGAUGAAUAUGUGCUUUUGUACAGGGAUGACCAGCUUGAUCCAACCAACCAGCAUCCAUCUUUUAAGAACUGGGUGGAUCUGCAGGACAGACGGAUGAAGGAUGGAGACGUGUCUUUGAUUCUGAAGGAUGUGAUGAUUAAUGACACUGGAACAUACAAGUGUGAGGCCUUCAUUAGAGGAACAAAUGUGAGGAAGAGAGCUAAUCUAGUUGGUGAACCCAUCAGUAUCGUCACACUGAAAGUUGUUCCUCCAGGAGGAUCUGUUGGACUGAUCGUUGGUCUGAGUGUUCCUGCUGUUCUUGUUGCUGCUGGUGUUGGUUUUCUGAUCUACAGAAAACAUAAACAACAGAACCGAGAUUUUAACUAGCAUCCUGAUGAACAUCAGCAAGUUUAAAUUGUCUCAGAGCUUCUUUCAUGUUGAUGCUGGGUAAGAGAAGCCUACAUUAAGGCAGAAAAGCAGGAGUGAAGCACACUGAAGAAACUUAAACACUAGAGUCCAAGUAGAAAACCAGAAGAGUUGCUUCAUUCCAAAGAGACUCCACAGCUGAGACCACGUUUAAAUAAAAGCUAAUGUCCCAGAAGUAUGAAGGAAUAAAAAUGGAAAAUCAAUUAUUAAAAGUUGCAGGUUAAAAAUAAAUAAAUCAUAUUGUCCUACAUCUGUGGGAGAGUCCUAAGAAAUUAAACCCAAAGCCAUACAGGAAGGAUCACUUUUUUUACAUUUACAGGCUGAGAAGUUGACAGAAAAUACUGAAUAAUGUUGGAAAAAGUGUUAAAGCCUACACCUUUACUGUUUUUAACAUCUAUUGUUAUGUAUUUACUUCCAACACUGAGCAUUAUCGGUUUCUGAUGUAUUGGACAAUUAUUAUUAAUAGUAGUUCAAUUUUGAUGAUGUAUGGUUUCAAACACACACAGGUCUUCAUCAUUUGAUUGUAUGUUGUUCUGAGGCAGCUAAAUUAGUUUGCAGAGAAAAAAUAUAUGUUAGAUUUGUGUUUGUGAGGUUAGUCGCUCAUAUUAUUCUUUACAUUUCUGUGGGACACGCAUGAGCUCAUAUUUUCAAACAAUAAUUAAGACAUCUUAAAAUGAAUACAAAUACAUUUCAGUGUUUUCCCAAACAACAUAUUCUGUUUCCGAUUGAACUUGUUUGAAGCAGAAUUUUAUUUCCACUAAUGUCAGGAAUUUACUUUUUUAUGGUUUGUUUCUCAUCAGUUUUCAGAGUUCAGUGCCCUGAAUGUUACAGGUUCAGCCACUGUUUUUAAAGUCAGACUUGUUCUGUGAGGUUUGAACCACACAAACUGAUCCUCAUGUGCAGGUCAGCUGUUACAUAAUUACAGACACUAACCGAUCAAUAAUCAGUCUGAUGGUGUUCAUUUGGCAACUAUAACUGAAUGAAUGUUGUGACAGUGUCAUGAAACUAAAGAUGAAAUGAUUUCUGUAACAGUCAGAUGUUUCCUCUGAUCUCUGAAAGUUUAUUGAACUUUUAAUCCCAUGAACACUUGUGUUGUUUGUGUUCUGGUUGUUACUGCAGUGGAGAUAUUUCAGAGCUAAUAAAUUUUUUUUUACAUA
Long non-coding RNA from Oreochromis aureus, 2206 nucleotides. NCBI's taxonomy places the organism in Eukaryota, Metazoa, Chordata, Actinopteri, Cichliformes, Cichlidae. The record is from Ensembl.